UCCCCGGUGGCUCAAUGGUAGAGUGGGUGACUGUUAAUCACUAGGUUGUAGGUUCGAAUCCUACCCGGGGAGCCA
RNAcentral lists this transfer RNA (75 nucleotides) under Planctomycetes bacterium RBG_16_41_13. Its description in RNAcentral is "tRNA-Asn". It matches the Rfam family "tRNA". From Rfam's summary of the family: Transfer RNA (tRNA) molecules are approximately 80 nucleotides in length. Their secondary structure includes four short double-helical elements and three loops (D, anti-codon, and T loops). Further hydrogen bonds mediate the characteristic L-shaped molecular structure. tRNAs have two regions of fundamental functional importance: the anti-codon, which is responsible for specific mRNA codon recognition, and the 3' end, to which the tRNAs corresponding amino acid is attached (by aminoacyl-tRNA synthetases). tRNAs cope with the degeneracy of the genetic code in two manners: having more than one tRNA (with a specific anti-codon) for a particular amino acid; and 'wobble' base-pairing, i.e. permitting non-standard base-pairing at the 3rd anti-codon position. Lineage: Bacteria; Pseudomonadati; Planctomycetota. The record is from RNAcentral.